RNAcentral lists this ribosomal RNA (403 nucleotides) under uncultured bacterium. RNAcentral's name for it is "partial 16S ribosomal RNA". It matches the Rfam family "Bacterial small subunit ribosomal RNA", at positions 28 to 526 of the family's 1533-position model. The record is from RNAcentral.
GACGAACGCUGGCGGCGUGCCUAAUACAUGCAAGUCGAACGCAGUGGGGACGGGUGAGUAACACGUGGGUAACCUCCCAUCAGAGGGGAUAACACUUGGAAACAGGUGCUAAACCGCUACUGAUGGAUGGACCCGCUGUGCAUUAGCUAGGUGGUGAGGUAACGGCUCACCAAGGCCACGAUGCAUAGCCGACCUGAUCGGGUGAUGGGCCACACGGGGACUUAGAACCGGCCCAGACUCCUACGCGAGGCAGCAGUAGGGAAUCUUUGGCAAUGGACGAAAGUCUGACCGAGCAACGCCGCGUGAGUGAAGAAGUUUUUCGGAUCGUAAAACUCUGGUGUUAGAGAAGCGGUAUCUAACCAGAAAGCCACGGCUAACUACGUGCCAGCAGCCGCGGUAAUUC